Molecule: ribosomal RNA, 146 nt
Filed under: Salmonella enterica subsp. enterica serovar Typhimurium
Lineage: Bacteria; Pseudomonadati; Pseudomonadota; Gammaproteobacteria; Enterobacterales; Enterobacteriaceae
Description: partial 23S ribosomal RNA
Rfam family: Bacterial large subunit ribosomal RNA
Source: RNAcentral
CCACGCGAAGCGUUCUCCCUGAGACUUAGAGUCUCCUGAAGGAACGUUGAAGACGACGACGUUGAUAGGCCGGGUGUGUAAGCGCAGCGAUGCGUUGAGCUAACCGGUACUAAUGAACCGUGAGGCUUAACCUUACAACGCCGAAG